UUGUCUGAAAAAUAUUAUGAAUAAACAAUUCAAAAUACAACUUUCAACAACGGAUCUCUUGGCUCUCGCAUCGAUGAAGAACGCAGCGAAAUGCGAUACGUAAUGUGAAUUGCAGAAUUCAGUGAAUCAUCGAAUCUUUGAACGCAUAUUGCGCUCUUUGGUAUUCCGAAGAGCAUGCUUGUUUGAGUAUCAGUAAACACCUCAAAGCUUUUGGAUUUUUUUUUGAAAGUUUUGGACUUGAGCAAUCCCAACACCAAUCUUUUUCAGAUCGGCGGCGGGUUGCUUGAAAUGCAGGUGCAGCUGGACAUUCUCCUGAGCUAAAAGCAUAUUCAUUUAGUCCCGUCAAACGGAUUAUUACUUUUGCUGCAGCUAACAUAAAGGGAGUUUGACCGCAUUGGCUGACUGAUGCAGGAUUUUACAAGGGUCGGCAACGAUUCUUGUUAAACUCGAUCUCAAAUCAAGUAAGACUACCCGCUGAACUUAAGCAUAUCAAUAAGGCGGAG
RNAcentral lists this ribosomal RNA (503 nucleotides) under Mortierella sp. nc_besc_246a. Its description in RNAcentral is "eukaryotic LSU rRNA". The stretch from base 39 to 192 matches the Rfam family "5.8S ribosomal RNA". Lineage: Eukaryota; Fungi; Mortierellomycota; Mortierellomycetes; Mortierellales; Mortierellaceae. The record is from RNAcentral.